AGAGAAGAAAUGGGCAAGUGCAAAGAGAAGCCAGCAGCGCUGGAGGAAGAGGAGGAUAUGCAGGAAGAAUUGGGCAAUGAGAUCUCCUUGGAAAGAUGAAUGGUGUUGGGGCAGUGGCUUUCACAGCACCCUGGGAGGGAUUUACAGCUCCAUGACCUGCACUCACACCUGGCGGCUGAUGCUGCCUUGGAGAUUAUACCCAGGAAGUCACAUCUGACAGAUCAAAGCAGCUGAACUCCUAAACAACCAGGGACUUAGCUCAGCCAUCAUUGCAGUGCCAAAAACUUCUGAGAAGACCAGCUUCUAAACAGAAUAAAAAUAUUCAAUAAGGCAUCAGAAAAAUACCAUUCUAUACCUUUAAUACAAACACUAUUAUAUUUUCAAA
Molecule: non-coding RNA, 385 nt
Organism: Cyanistes caeruleus (blue tit)
Lineage: Eukaryota; Metazoa; Chordata; Aves; Passeriformes; Paridae
Source: RefSeq, a predicted model, not a curated record